UUGGUAGACGGGCUAGUUGUUCUAUCAAGAAAUCCAACAAUAAUUAACCCUGGAUUUUAUCAUGAUAUCAAUGCUAUUUAGUUGCAAAUUUCUUCAACCUUAUCCGCUUCGAACCAGUCACACAACUCACAAGCUUCUGUCCUCAGUUAUCAACGAUUGUGAAGAUGAAUACUAAAUGGAUUAAUUCUAAAUGAGUAUGCAUCGUUACAUUAAUUUACACACAUAAUGUCCUUAACCGUUGCAACAACCAACAACAACAACCUCAAACAUAUUAAUCAUUUGUUAAACCAAUCCAAUACUAUCUCUCACUCUCACCUCAAACAAAUUCAUGCUCAAAUACUUCGCACCAUUCACACCAAUCAUCCACAAUCCCUUUUUCUCCACACCAAACUUCUUCACCAUUACUCCUUCACAAAUCUCAACUACACUACACAUCUUUUUCAUCAC
RNAcentral lists this long non-coding RNA (447 nucleotides) under Trifolium pratense (red clover). RNAcentral describes it as "long non-coding RNA (TPRA_LNC009497)". The record is from RNAcentral. Lineage: Eukaryota; Viridiplantae; Streptophyta; Magnoliopsida; Fabales; Fabaceae.